Molecule: long non-coding RNA, 1712 nt
Organism: Eupeodes corollae
Lineage: Eukaryota; Metazoa; Arthropoda; Insecta; Diptera; Syrphidae
Exons: 3
Source: RefSeq, a predicted model, not a curated record
UUUAUCUUUUUCUUAUUUAUUUUUGCUACCAAAUACAAAUAAUGGAUUUCUUUCUAUUUCAAUAUUCACCCUUCGUUUUCUUCGAGGAAAAAAAAAUAAUAAAACACCAAGUCUGUGUUGUAACUUGUGAUGCACAGUCACCAUCUCCAUCACCUAUCAUCACUUAUACGAGACGACGGCGGCGGCGGCGACUUGACUCGCUCGAACACCAAAACCAAAAUAAUUUUAAAAUCUUUCCUUUUAUUCCUGAAUAAAUUACAUAUAAUCGACUUUCGACAGGGCUGUAUUGUAAUUGUGUUUUGUGUAUUAUUUAAGACAGGAAGGAAGACUUACCGUUAUAUUUGCGUGAAUAUCAUAACGCUUUCCAUUUUUACCGAUAAAACGGCAAGUCAACUCAUCCACACUAGAGUUGAGUAUUUGGAAACGUUCAUGAUUUCUGUUAAAUAUUUUUUCAAGAGUUUUUAUUUCUAAUUUUAAAGUAUUCAAACACGCCAUGUUCCAACAGUUUACAAUAAACUGCUGUUCCUGGUGGUGCUGUGCUGCUGCUGCUGCUGCUUUGUGUACUCAAAGUACUCUUUUUUAUACUUUUAUUUGCUUUCUUCUGACUGAGCUUCCGACCUUUCCAGAUGGAGGAAUAUCAAACAGAAAAUAUUCUUUUUUGGAUUUGGUCUGAUUCUGUAUUUACUUGUUUUCACACUGACAGCACUAUUAUGGUGAAGGGAGAAGGGUAAGAGAUAACAAAUUGAAUAAUAAAUUUAUUUGAAGAGCUCGAGUUAUUUUUAAUGGAUUUUUCUUUCUUGUGCUUUUCAAUCAAUUAUUUUUUCCAAAUAUUAAUUUUCAUUUUCACUGCAUAAUAGCACUUUUGCCAGCACUACCAAUUAUUUUCACACGAAACAAAGACAAAACGAAAACGACCACUACUGCAACUGUUCAAGCAGUCAGACAACAGCAGAACACAGAAACAGAACACACUACAUGGAAAAGAUAAAAGAGGACAACAUCUAGCUCGGUGGUGGGACAAAAAUAAAAUACACCCUAUUUAUCUGCUUUUGAGCAAGAAGGCCAGCAUCACGUUAUUUAAGCCAUAGAAGAAUGAGAUAGCAUAGUUGUUCUUGUAAUACAAUAGCUAGUAGUUUUUUGUUGUUGGCGUAUUACGGAAAGUCUUUUACCUUUUCACACCUCUUUAAGAAUUUGGCUGGGGAAACGAGAAAACGUAAAGCUUGUUGUGAAACAAAAACAAAUCGCAUUAAAGGACGACCGUAUAGACAUAAAUUCAUAAAGUUGCAAUUUUGCAAGAUGAAUGUUUAAGGUUUGUACGCAAUAAACGCGACAGGGAGACGAUACAGAUGCAGCAAACAUCGAAUCAGACUUGGAAGCUUGACAACUGUGUAGAAACCGCCAAAGCGGCCGAAUAAUGAAUAUUAAAGUUUGGAGCAAGACCCUAGAAUUAUGGAGUUUUCCAUGGGCAAAUUUAGAUUUCCGUGAUUUUAUUUCGCGGCGCUGGGAGCACGAUUGGAAUUGUUUUUGUUUGUCAUUUUAUUAUUUUAACAAGUGCGAUAGAGCUGUCAAAUUUAAAGCUGCUCUAAUAACUCUGUUUUUUGUUAGCAAUAAGAAUAGAAAAAUAAUGAGAAUCAGGAUAAAAAGGAAUUAAACACUAUUUUAUGUUCCGUCACUAAUUCAAUUAAGAAAUAAAUAGAAUAUUAAGAACUAAA